This 443-nucleotide ribosomal RNA is filed under the name uncultured bacterium. RNAcentral's name for it is "partial 16S ribosomal RNA". It matches the Rfam family "Bacterial small subunit ribosomal RNA", at positions 338 to 795 of the family's 1533-position model. The record is from RNAcentral.
CCUACGGGCGACAGCAGUGGGGAAUAUUGGGCAAUGGGCGCAAGCCUGACCCAGCAACGCCGCGUGAAGGAAGAAGGCUUUCGGGUUGUAAACUUCUUUUCUCAGGGACGAAGCAAGUGACGGUACCUGAGGAAUAAGCCACGGCUAACUACGUGCCAGCAGCCGCGGUAAUACGUAGGGGGCAAGCGUUAUCCGGAUUUACUGGGUGUAAAGGGCGUGUAGGCGGGGACGCAAGUCAGAUGUGAAAACCAUGGGCUCAACCUGUGGCCUGCAUUUGAAACUGUGUUUCUUGAGUACAGGAGAGGCAGACGGAAUUCCUAGUGUAGCGGUGAAAUGCGUAGAUAUUAGGAGGAACACCAGUGGCGAAGGCGGUCUGCUGGACAGCAACUGACGCUGAGGCGCGAAAGCGUGGGGAGCAAACAGGAUUAGAUACCCCAGUAGUC